ACKGCUCAGUAACACGUGGCUAACCUGCCCUUGGGACGGAAACAUCCCCGGGAAACUGGGGCCAAUUUCCGAUAGGUGAAGAACCCUGGAAUGAGUCUUCGCCCAAAAGGCGCUUAGAGCAUGCUUCUAGGUGUUGCCCAAGGAUGGGGCCGCGGCCGAUCAGGUUGUUGGUGAGGUAAUGGCUCACCAAGCCUUUAACCGGUACGGGCCGUGGGAGCGGUAGCCCGGAGAUGGGCACUGAGACAAGGGCCCAGGCCCUACGGGGCGCAGCAGUCGCGAAAACUUGUCAAUGCACGAAAGUGUGAACGGGCUACCCCGAGUGCCGUCCGCUGAGGAUGGCUUUUCUCUGCUGUAAGAAGGCGGAGGAAUAAGGAGAGGGCAAGUCUGGUGUCAGCCGCCGCGGUAAUACCAGCUCUCCGAGUGGUAGGGAUGAUUAUUGGGCUUAAAGCGUCCGUAGCCGGUCUCUCAAGUCUUUCGUUAAAUCCAGCGACUAAUCGUUGGACUGCGGGAGAUACUGUUAGGCUAGGGGGCGGGAGAAGCCGACGGUAUUUCCGGGGUAGGGGUAAAAUCCUAUAAUCCCGGGAAGACCACCAGUGGCGAAGGCGGUCGGCUAGCACGCGCUCGACGGUGAGGGACGAAAGCUGGGGGAGCGAACCGGAUUAGAUACCCGGGUAGUCCCAGCUGUAAACGAUGCGGGCUAGGUGUUGGAGCGGCUACGAGCCGCUUCAGUGCCGCAGGGAAGCCAUUAAGCCCGCCGCCUGGGGAGUACGGCCGCAAGGCUGAAACUUAAAGGAAUUGGCGGGGGAGCAC
Molecule: ribosomal RNA, 810 nt
Filed under: uncultured Sulfolobales archaeon
Lineage: Archaea; Thermoproteati; Thermoproteota; Thermoprotei; Sulfolobales
Description: bacterial SSU rRNA
Rfam family: Archaeal small subunit ribosomal RNA
Source: RNAcentral